AUGAUGAUAACCCUUUUGAUUUACGGUUAGAAUAACCUGACGAUUUGUGAUGUCAAACUAGGGCGGACUGAUCAU
Planococcus citri (citrus mealybug) is the source of this 75-nucleotide small nucleolar RNA. RefSeq annotates it as small nucleolar RNA U43. The record is from RefSeq and is a predicted model, not a curated record. NCBI's taxonomy places the organism in Eukaryota, Metazoa, Arthropoda, Insecta, Hemiptera, Pseudococcidae. The transcript has a single exon.